Molecule: unclassified non-coding RNA, 255 nt
Filed under: air metagenome
Description: partial contains small subunit ribosomal RNA, internal transcribed spacer 1, and 5.8S ribosomal RNA
Rfam family: Eukaryotic small subunit ribosomal RNA (bases 1-46)
Source: RNAcentral
AAGUCGUAACAAGGUUUCCGUAGGUGAACCUGCGGAAGGAUCAUUACUGAGUUAGGGUCCUCUGGGCCCGACCUCCAACCCUUUGUUAAAACACUUUGUUGCUUUGGCAGGCCCGUCUCUCGGGACCGCUGGGGGCUUUUCUGCCUCUGGUCAGUGCUUGCCAAUAGCCAAUAUUAAAUUCUUCUUUAACGAUGAAGUCUGAUAAUAUAAUUAUAAAUAUAAUUAAAACUUUCAACAACGGAUCUCUUGGUUCUG